UACGUAGGUGGCAAGCGUUGUCCGGAUUUACUGGGCGUAAAGGGCGCGUAGGCGGCCAUCUAAGUCAGACGUGAAAUCCCUCGGCUCAACCGAGGAACUGCGUCUGAUACUGGAAGGCUUGAAUCCGGGAGAGGGAUGUGGAAUUCCAGGUGUAGCGGUGAAAUGCGUAGAUAUCUGGAGGAACACCGGUGGCGAAGGCGGUAUCCUGGACCGGUAUUGACGCUGAGGCGCGAAAGCUAGGGGAGCAAACGGG
RNAcentral lists this ribosomal RNA (253 nucleotides) under uncultured bacterium. RNAcentral describes it as "partial 16S ribosomal RNA". It matches the Rfam family "Bacterial small subunit ribosomal RNA", at positions 524 to 776 of the family's 1533-position model. The record is from RNAcentral.